RNAcentral lists this small nucleolar RNA (76 nucleotides) under Cairina moschata (Muscovy duck). Lineage: Eukaryota; Metazoa; Chordata; Aves; Anseriformes; Anatidae. The record is from RNAcentral.
CGGACAUGAUGUCAACCUGCCAUCCUGACCUGCCGUGGAGGCAAAAAAAAAAAAACUGAUUUAAUGAGGCUGAUCC